CCCGCUGAACUUAAGCAUAUCAAUAAGCGGAGGAAAAGAAACUAACAAGGAUUCCCCUAGUAACUGCGAGUGAAGCGGGAAAAGCUCAAAUUUAAAAUCUGGCGGUCUCGCGGCCGUCCGAGUUGUAAUCUGGAGAAGCGUCUAUCCGCGUCGGACCGUGUACAAGUCUUCUGGAAGGGAGCGUCGUAGAGGGUGAGAAUCCCGUCUUUGACACGGACAACCGAUGCUUUUGUGAUGCGCUCUCGAAGAGUCGAGUUGUUUGGGAAUGCAGCUCAAAAUGGGAGGUAAAUUUCUUCUAAAGCUAAAUACCGGCCAGAGACCGAUAGCGCACAAGUAGAGUGAUCGAAAGAUGAAAAGCACUUUGAAAAGAGAGUUAAAAAGUACGUGAAAUUGUUGAAAGGGAAGCGUUUGUAGCCAGACUUGGCGGCAGUUGCUCAACCGGUCUUUGCCCGGUGCACUCUUCUGCCGACAGGCCAGCAUCAGUUCGGGCGGCCGGAUAAAGGCAUUGGGAACGUGGCUCCUCGGAGUGUUAUAGCCCUUUGCACAAUGCGGCCAGCCCGGACUGAGGACCGCGAUUCACGGAUGCUGGCUUAAUGGCUGCCAACGGCCCGUCUUGAAACACGG
RNAcentral lists this ribosomal RNA (624 nucleotides) under uncultured fungus. Its description in RNAcentral is "eukaryotic LSU rRNA". It matches the Rfam family "Eukaryotic large subunit ribosomal RNA", at positions 24 to 664 of the family's 3401-position model. The record is from RNAcentral. Lineage: Eukaryota; Fungi.